GACGGAGGAUGCAAGCGUUAUCCGGAAUGAUUGGGCGUAAAGCGUCCGCAGGUGGCAGUUCAAGUCUGCUGUCAAAGACCGGGGCUUAACUUCGGAAAGGCAGUGGAAACUGAACAGCUAGAGUAUGGUAGGGGCAGAGGGAAUUCCUGGUGUAGCGGUGAAAUGCGUAGAGAUCAGGAAGAACAUCGGUGGCGAAGGCGCUCUGCUGGACCAUAACUGACACUCAGGGACGAAAGCGAGGGGAGCGAAUGGG
Molecule: ribosomal RNA, 253 nt
Filed under: uncultured bacterium
Lineage: Bacteria
Description: partial 16S ribosomal RNA
Rfam family: Bacterial small subunit ribosomal RNA
Source: RNAcentral